GACGAACGCUGGCGGCGUGCCUAACACAUGCAAGUGGAGCGACGAACCAGGCUUCGGCCUGGGGCAAAGCCGCGAACGGGUGAGUAACACGUGGGUAACCUGCCCUGAUGAUUGGGACAACCCGAGGAAACUCGGGCUAAUACCAAAUGUGCCCUUCGGCCACAAGGCCGCUGGGGAAAGGAAGCUUCGGCCUCCGCAUCUGGAUGGGCCCGCGGCCCAUUAGCUUGUUGGUGAGGUAACGGCUCACCAAGGCGACGAUGGGUAGCUGGUCUGAGAGGACGAUCAGCCACACUGGGACUGAGACACGGCCCAGACUCCUACGGGAGGCAGCAGUGGGGAAUCUUGCGCAAUGCGCGAAAGCGUGACGCAGCAACGCCGCGUGGGGGAAGACGGCCUCGGUUG
Molecule: ribosomal RNA, 402 nt
Filed under: uncultured bacterium
Lineage: Bacteria
Description: bacterial SSU rRNA
Rfam family: Bacterial small subunit ribosomal RNA
Source: RNAcentral